UACGGGGGGCAGCAGUCGAGAAUUUUUCACAAUGGGGGAAACCCUGAUCGAGCGACGCCGCGUGGAGGAUGAAGGUCUUCGGAUUGUAAACUCCUGUCAUUUGGGAACAAUGCGUGACGGUUAACUGUCGUCACGUUGAUAGUACCAGAAGAGGAAGAGACGGCUAACUCUGUGCCAGCAGCCGCGGUAAUACAGAGGUCUCAAGCGUUGUUCGGAUUCAUUGGGCGUAAAGGGUGCGUAGGCGGCGCGGUAAGUCGGGUGUGAAAUCUCGGGGCUUAACUCCGAAACUGCAUUCGAUACUGCCGUGCUUGAGGACUGGAGAGGAGACUGGAAUUUACGGUGUAGCAGUGAAAUGCGUAGAUAUCGUAAGGAAGACCAGUGGCGAAGGCGGGUCUCUGGACAGUUCCUGACACUGAGACACGAAGGCCAGGGGAGCAGACGGGAUUAGAUACCCUAGUAGUCAUCUUCUAGA
This 472-nucleotide ribosomal RNA is filed under the name uncultured Verrucomicrobiota bacterium. Its description in RNAcentral is "bacterial SSU rRNA". It matches the Rfam family "Bacterial small subunit ribosomal RNA", at positions 340 to 805 of the family's 1533-position model. The record is from RNAcentral. Lineage: Bacteria; Pseudomonadati; Verrucomicrobiota.